CCUCAAUAAGCGCGAUCACAUUCUGUGUCUGGCGCUUCUCCUCACGCUCUCAUUCAGAAGAAUUACAUUUUUAAUUUAUGAAAUGUGUAUUCUUUGGGGUCUAUAUGUUUUCGUCACUGACAUUUGCAGCAGUGUUUUCUCAAAGAAGGUCUUUAAAUACUGACAGCUUAAUUCCAGAUACGGCCAUCAAAUAGCUGAGAUUACCACUGGUUGGUCACGUCUUCCCCAGCUUCACCAGCGCAUUCGCGCUCCGAGAUCGACGCGCUUCUCUUUGCACUCUCGAUAUUCCAACCUGCAUAUGAGAUGAUGGAAACUGACCCAGACUGAGCACCAUCUCUACAUCUGGGCCACACAGAUACUACACACACAGACACUGCACACUCUGCAAGACAAACUAAGAGAAGGAAAUAAAACCAACACUGCAGUCAGCUGAAGAUGUGGACGAACAACAUGCAGAGAAGGAGACACGUGAGGUUGAAGAUGGUGAGAGACACUGAUGAGGAGACACGCAACACUAAGGAGGUAGCCGAGACAAACUGAGUGUAAAUUCUGUAUGGACAGAUGUGUAGAAGUAAACCGCCUGUUGGAGGAGAACUGACAGCUGCUGUGUGAACAUGAAGAAUACAGGAUGUCUGAUGGAUUUUGUGACAAGAAUGAUGCUCAAGUACCAAACAGUAAAAAAACACAAAAUCUUAAUAACAAGACCCUCAACAUGAUACUGCCUUGUGAAGGUGAAGAUGUCACAUUACAGCACAGGAUUGUAACUGUCUGUUGUGUUCAACAAACCAAUGUCCAACUGUAGUGUAGAAGAGCUGUAGUUGUCAAUAAGAGUUAAAAGCUCAGGUCUAUAAAUGCAUUCUGUGCUUAAUUGAUACAUUCCUUGCAAAUUCCUUCCCAUUUUUGUAGCUUUGUUUCUUUCACUGUGUGUAUGAGUGUGUUUUGCUAAUGUUUCAUUCUGUCUUAUGUAAACAAUAUGAUGCAUUCCUCCAGAAAUGAA
This is a long non-coding RNA of Danio aesculapii, 997 nucleotides long. RefSeq lists it as uncharacterized. The transcript is spliced from 3 exons. The record is from RefSeq and is a predicted model, not a curated record. NCBI's taxonomy places the organism in Eukaryota, Metazoa, Chordata, Actinopteri, Cypriniformes, Danionidae.